Molecule: ribosomal RNA, 253 nt
Filed under: uncultured bacterium
Lineage: Bacteria
Description: partial 16S ribosomal RNA
Rfam family: Bacterial small subunit ribosomal RNA
Source: RNAcentral
UACGUAGGUGGCAAGCGUUGUCCGGAUUUAUUGGGUUUAAAGGGUGCGUAGGCGGCUUAUUAAGUCAGUGGUGAAAUACUCUAACUCAACUAGAGGGGUGCCAUUGAUGCUGAUGAGCUUGAGUACAGAUGAGGUAGGCGGAAUUGACGGUGUAGCGGUGAAAUGCUUAGAUAUCGUCAAGAACACCUAUAGCGAAGGCAGCUUACUAGGCUGUAACUGACGCUGAGGCACGAAAGUGUGGGGAUCAAACAGG